This 438-nucleotide long non-coding RNA is filed under the name Pelobates cultripes (western spadefoot toad). Lineage: Eukaryota; Metazoa; Chordata; Amphibia; Anura; Pelobatidae. The record is from RNAcentral.
GCUGGAGGUUGUGUUUGUAGAAUACCCGGGUAUUUGUUGUAGAGUAUAAGUUGUAGAGUCCAGCUUUCCAAAUAUUUGGCUAGAAUUGGUUGCAGAUAUUGAAUCAGCAUCAUCUGUUAUGACCGUGGUGAUGGCGUUGGUAUUUGUCUUUGUCUUUGCUUGUUUGCUUUGUUUUUUCCAUGAAACAUUUUUACACCGUUUAUGAUGUGUAUAGAUUGGAUACUCUCCGAUAUUCUUUUACGGAAUAGAUUAAUUGACAGCAUUUCCAAGACACUGUCUUAAGUGACAUGGAUCCCGUUAUAGUAAAUGUUAUGUUGAUACAGCAAUCGAAGUGGAUUCUCAAGAAUGCCUCUUUUUGCUGUAUUGGAAUCUUUGUAACAUCUCAGUGAUAGACAUCUCAAUGACAUCAGGUGCUGUUGUGCUAAAAAUGUUAACAGG